GGAAAAUGAGAGGGAUUCAUUUCAUGAUACUGGGAAGGCUUCACAUCAUCACGUGAGGGUAGACCCGGAUUACCUGAGAUGUGACCCUACAGGGGUCACGUUAAAGUUCAGAAAUCUACAUUUUCAAAACGCAGACCUUCAAAAAAGGAUCUUGUUUGCAGACAUUCUGGUUAAACUGAUCCUGUGGGUGGAAGGCUUCUUGGCUGCCAUCUUCUUCGGCACACUGGUGGCCAUCUUGGCUUUGUGGGUUGGCAUCUCCGUGCCCCUUACCUUCGUGGGCGCCUAGCCUACUUCGGCCUCGAGGCCUGUGAGUUUCACCUAUCACACUGUCUGAAUGAAUAACUCUGUCAGGUCAUCUUACAUUAUGUGCAUUUUCUAUGCUACUCUCUGUGCUCCAGGUGAUUGAGCUGCCAGUGCGAACCAACUAUAUCACUCGGCAGAUCUAUGAAAAUUGAUUAAUCACCAAGCCCGUGCCUGGAAUCGGCUUGGGGGGGCAUCCUGACCUUCGGCUGCAUCUGCAUCCAGCACUUCUUCAUCCUCAACAGCAUCUGAUAAGAACAAGGGUCAAGUCUGCUACUCAACCAUGAGCCUGAAUUUGCCUAGUGGUGCUCGUAUAAUGAUUCCUAAAGAAACAAACAA
RNAcentral lists this long non-coding RNA (639 nucleotides) under Salmo salar (Atlantic salmon). RNAcentral's name for it is "lncRNA (ENSSSAG00000100654.1)". The record is from RNAcentral. Lineage: Eukaryota; Metazoa; Chordata; Actinopteri; Salmoniformes; Salmonidae.